CCCUACGGGGGGCAGCAGUGGGGAAUAUUGGGCAAUGGGCGCAAGCCUGACCCAGCAACGCCGCGUGAAGGAGGAAGGCUUUCGGGUUGUAAACUUCUUUUAAGAGGGAAGAGCAGAAGACGGUACCUCUUGAAUAAGCCCCGGCUAACUACGUGCCAGCAGCCGCGGUAAUACGUAGGGGGCAAGCGUUAUCCGGAUUUACUGGGUGUAAAGGGGGCGCAGACGGCGAUGCAAGCCUGGAGGGAA
Molecule: ribosomal RNA, 246 nt
Filed under: uncultured bacterium
Lineage: Bacteria
Description: partial 16S ribosomal RNA
Rfam family: Bacterial small subunit ribosomal RNA
Source: RNAcentral